This 506-nucleotide ribosomal RNA is filed under the name uncultured bacterium. RNAcentral's name for it is "partial 16S ribosomal RNA". It matches the Rfam family "Bacterial small subunit ribosomal RNA", at positions 29 to 523 of the family's 1533-position model. The record is from RNAcentral.
AGUGAACGCUGGCGGUAGGCCUAACACAUGCAAGUCGAACGGCAGCACAGGAGAGCUUGCUCUCUGGGUGGCGAGUGGCGGACGGGUGAGGAAUACAUCGGAAUCUACUCUGUCGUGGGGGAUAACGUAGGGAAACUUACGCUAAUACCGCAUACGACCUACGGGUGAAAGCAGGGGACCUUCGGGCCUUGCGCGAUUGAAUGAGCCGAUGUCGGGUUAGCUAGUUGGCGGGGUAAAGGCCCACCAAGGCGACGAUCCGUAGCUGGUCUGAGAGGACGAUCAGCGACACUGGAACUGAGCCACGGUCCAGACUCCUACGGGAGGCAGCAGGGGGGAAUAUUGGACAAUGGGCGCAAGCCUGAUCCAGCCAUACCGCGUGGGUGAAGAAGGCCUUCGGGUUGUAAAGCCCUUUUGUUGGGAAAGAAAUCCAGCUGGCUAAUACCCGGUUGGGAUGACGGUACCCAAAGAAUAAGCACCGGCUAACUUCGUGCCAGCCGCCGCCGUAA